UCAUUCUCUUAAAUCUGCACUAUUUCUCUUCCUCUUCCGUCACUUAUUCGUUCUCUUUUUAUGGUUCUUCCUCUUCAUGGUUUUCUCUGUCCUUCAAUCUCCACCAUUCUUGGUUUCUCCUAUUCACUAUGUUUCUUCUCCUUAUCUUUUUCUUCCUCUUAUCCACCGUCUCUUCUUAUUUAGGUAUGUAUUUCUUCCUAUCUUCUUUUUUAAAGCCCUUCUUUUCUUUCUUUUUGAAUCGAUCAUCAUCUUUUCUUUUUUUUUAUGUGAAUCGAUCAUCAUCUAUAAGAAAUUAAGGCUACAAUUUGUUCUUUCUCAUCUCUUUUGUAUGUUUUUUUAUUUGUUCCUCAUCUCUUUUACCAAGUGGGGCUUUGCAAAGUUUGAUUUUUUUUGUUUUUUAAUUUGUUUCAGUUUUUUAGAGUGAUUUGAUAUACUUUUAUUAUAUGUAUUAGUUGACUAAUACACUUAUGAUUACUUUUUAUUACUGCAGUUCAUUAUAGUUAUGGUUAAACUUGCAGUCAUUGUAUUUCAUAGUGGUCAAUGGGAUGAGCAACAGUGUUAUGUAGACUACAAAACAAAUUAUGUUUUGGUUGAUGAAGUGACAUCAUCAUUUGAUUCUUUUGUGAACUUGAUACAUACUGAAAUUCAAAUUUAGUCAUGUAUUGAACUUUCAAUUUUGUUGCCUACAGGUAGUAAUGAUGUUCAACAUGUUCUUAAGAUUGUUGAAAAUAAAGGUGACUUGGUUCUUGACACUGGUUAAGGAUCAAUCUACCCAAUAUCCUUUAGUUGCUCAUUCUAUAGACACGAUUUUAGAUGUGUCAAUUGGUUCUUCUUCUUCCAUAGUUGAGGCUGAUUUAGGAUGUGAAUUAUCAAUUUUUAGAGAUGUUGAUAUUACUAAUACUACGAUGAGGUGGCUUUUAAGGAGAAGGAUUUGUUUUGUAAUAAGAAAAUUUUGAUGAAGGCAUUUCGCUUUAUAGCUGUCAAGACUAAUUUUGAAUUUAAAACAUUGAGAUCUAAUUCAAGAUCUAUUGAGUUGGGAUGUAAUGAAGAUGGUUGUCUUUGGUUUGUUAGAGCAUCACAUUAUAAAAGAAGUGAAUUAUGGAUGAUUCGAAAAUAUGUUAGUGAUCAUAGUUGCUGAAUGAUUGUUCAUUCUUCUCAUAAGCAAGCAUCUUCAGAAUUUAUAGUCAAUGUAUGAUUGAUUAUUUGAGGUAUAGUUAUUCUCAUUCAACACCAAAAGAUAUCAUUCACCAUAUGUAUGAAUUAUGGAGUUUCUGUUAGCUAUUAUAAGGCUUGGAGAGCAAAAAAAUAUGUUAUGAAGUUGUUGAAAGGAGAUGUCGAUAAUUCUUAUGCUUUGAUUCCAAAGUUCUUUUCAAAACUAAAAGAAAUAAAUCCAGGUUUGCUUUCUACCACUUAAUUUAGUAUAUUGUUCAAUUUAUUUCAUUUUUUUAUACUAUUGUCAAUUUUUGUAUAUUAGUUUAUUGAUACACCUAUUAUGAAGUAUACUUAUUAUAUGAUGUACGCAAUACUAAUUAUAUGUUUUCAUUCACUAUUUUACUUGUAUAGUUGGUACACUAGCUAGUUGUUGUAUCAUUUUACUGAGAUACCUAUGAUGAAGUAUACUUAUUGUAUGAUGUAUGCACUUACUAUUUAGUACUUUUAUUAAUUUGAUUGUUCUAUUUUGUUCCUUUUUUGUAAGUUCAUUUACUGCAUAUGAAAUAGAUGCAAAUGGCCAUUUCAAAUAUCGUUUCAUGGCUAUUGCAUCAUCAAUUGAAGGUUGGAGAUAUUGUAGACCAAAAUAUAGCAGUUGAUGAGACAUUUUUAAAGUGUAAGUAUGAUGGAACAUUGUUAACGGCAGCAACUAUGGAUGGUAAUAGUAAAAUUUUCCCUCUUGCAGUUAGUAUAUAGAUUCAGAGAAUGAUGCUUCUUGGAAAUGGUUUUUGAACAAUUAAAACUUUCUUUUGGAGAUCGAGAGGGAUUGGUUAUUAUUUCUGAUAGACAUAUAAGUAUUCCAAAAGGUGUUUUAGAUGUGUUUCCAUUGGUACAAUAUUGCGUUUAUGUAUAACAUCUUUUGAAAAGUGUCAAGUUGUCAUUUAAAGUCUCUUUAAUUGAAAAGCUUUUUCGUCAAUGUGCAUACUCUUAUACAGUAGAUGAUUUUGAGUUAUAUAUGAGAUGGAUGGAGUCAAUAUACUCAUCUAUUAAAGUAUAUCUCAUGAAAGUUGGUUUUGAGAGAUGGUCACUCGUAUAAUCUAGAAAAAGAAGAUAUCAAAUAAUGAGAACAAAUAUUUGUGAAAGCUUGAAUUCUAAGUUGAAGAUUGAUAGAGACUUACUUGUUUCAUCCUUGCUUGAGGCCAUUAGAGAGUUUCUUCAACAACGAUUUUAUGAGAGAAGAAAAACAGCCUCAUGUUCAAAGAGUGUUUUGAGUUCUUGGGCUGAAGGACCAAUAAGAAAGCUAGUUGAUGAAUCACGAAGCUUCAUUGUUAAUCUUGUGAGUGAAGAUGAAUUUCAAAUAGUUAACGGAGGCAAGAAUUUUUUAGUAAAGUUGAAUUGUAAUAGCUAUAGUUGUCUUUUUUAGGAUCUAGAAGAAAUUCCAUGUGCUCAUGCUCUUAUUGUGAUUCGUAGCCUUAAUUUGGAUCCUUAUUCAUUUGUUUCACAGUAUUAUUAUGCUAGUGUAUUGUCUGCAACUUAUUGUGGAUUAGUUCGUCCGAUUAGCAACCAUACUAAUUGGAGUGUUGUGGAGGUGAAUGACAAUGUAUUGCCUCUAGUAUAUAGACGUUCAGCAGGAAGGCCUCGAAAAAGAAGGAUUCCUUCUAUUGGUGAAGUUUCAAAGAGCACAAAAUGCAGUCGUUGUAAGAAAGUCGGUCAUAAUAUUAGGACUUGUACAUUUGAACUCGUUUGAACAAUUUAAUUGUUUUGAAAUUUAGUAAUUAUCAAUGAUGUAGUAUUUGAACAA
Cucumis sativus (cucumber) is the source of this 2950-nucleotide long non-coding RNA. RefSeq lists it as uncharacterized. NCBI's taxonomy places the organism in Eukaryota, Viridiplantae, Streptophyta, Magnoliopsida, Cucurbitales, Cucurbitaceae. The transcript is spliced from 2 exons. The record is from RefSeq and is a predicted model, not a curated record.